Molecule: long non-coding RNA, 1014 nt
Filed under: Coturnix japonica (Japanese quail)
Lineage: Eukaryota; Metazoa; Chordata; Aves; Galliformes; Phasianidae
Description: lncRNA (ENSCJPG00005019447.1)
Source: RNAcentral
GAGCUGCAGUGGCAAAAAUCCAUCUGCUGAGGGAAUGCUGGAUUUAAAAAAAAAAAAAAAAAAAAAUCAAUCCACGUACACGGCAAGCAUUAAAAAUGCUGGCAUUAAAAGCUGCCGAUCUAUUUAGAUGCUCUUUUUUAAAUAGAUUAUUUAUUUCUUUCCUUUUAAGAGGGGAAGUUUAGCAUCCCCCCACUCACGAUCAGUUCCCUGUUGCCCCCAUCCACACGGACAUACCUGCACAAGCAGGGGAGGAAGGUGUGUUUGCCUUAUUGUAUUUCCCAGUGGCUUGAGCAGAAUUAGUGUCAGGGUGUCAAGCGAGUAGCAAUUUGAGGUAAUUAUUUUGCACGCCAUUUUUAUCGUUGCUUUAAAUGCAUUUCUUCCUCCCCUGCAAUCUACAGUAUUUCGUGCUGGGUUUAGUCUCUUGCUGGCUUUCUCUAUGCAAUGAAGAAGCGUGGAUUAUUACAUUAUAUAUACUUACAUAUAUAUAUAUAAAAUUCAGAUGAUCACAGAGAAGAAAAGGGGGUAGGGAGGAGGGGAUUGCUGCACUGUUAGCAAUUCACAGCACCUACUGACUACAGCGUCACCCCUAAGGAGAGGAGGAGAAGGGUGAAACUGACAGCUGUGCAUUCUGAUAUUCUUAUCUACACACAAAUAAAUCUAGUGUUCAGAAGUGGAAGGAAUUAUAGAGCCGAAAGUUCUAGGAGUCUGUGAUGAGCAAAUGUGGUGACUGAGUUGUUUCCACAGCAAGUGAAAAGUCAUGAACAAAGGUUAUUGAAAAGAUCACUGAAAAGAAGAAUUUUGAUCCCUAAGGAAAGACUUCUGGCCUUCCUCAGGAGUUCAUCUCCUUUACUCCCCUGCUGGCUGCUUUUUGGAGUCCUAGCAAGGAAGAGGACAGUACCUGUCUGCCCCAUGACAAAAGGGACUGUUGUCUCCCUUCUCUUCUGUGAUCUGUCAGGCUGUUGCCCCCAGCCAAACAUUGUCCCUCUCCAUGCAAAAAGCUACUCCUGCCAGUAA